This is a transfer RNA of Eubacterium sp. CAG:156, 72 nucleotides long. It matches the Rfam family "tRNA". From Rfam's summary of the family: Transfer RNA (tRNA) molecules are approximately 80 nucleotides in length. Their secondary structure includes four short double-helical elements and three loops (D, anti-codon, and T loops). Further hydrogen bonds mediate the characteristic L-shaped molecular structure. tRNAs have two regions of fundamental functional importance: the anti-codon, which is responsible for specific mRNA codon recognition, and the 3' end, to which the tRNAs corresponding amino acid is attached (by aminoacyl-tRNA synthetases). tRNAs cope with the degeneracy of the genetic code in two manners: having more than one tRNA (with a specific anti-codon) for a particular amino acid; and 'wobble' base-pairing, i.e. permitting non-standard base-pairing at the 3rd anti-codon position. NCBI's taxonomy places the organism in Bacteria, Bacillati, Bacillota, Clostridia, Eubacteriales, Eubacteriaceae. The record is from Rfam.
GCGCCUAUAGCUUAGUGGAUAGAGCGCCGCCCUCCGGAGGCGGUAACGCAGGUUCGACUCCUGUUAGGCGCG